Molecule: ribosomal RNA, 337 nt
Filed under: uncultured bacterium
Lineage: Bacteria
Description: partial 16S ribosomal RNA
Rfam family: Bacterial small subunit ribosomal RNA
Source: RNAcentral
CCUACGGGAGGCAGCAGUGGGGCAUAUUGCUCAAUGGGCUAAAGCCUGACGCAGCGAAGCCGCGUGAGGGAUGAAGGUCUUCGGAUCGUAAACCUCUGUCAGCAGGGAAGAACGGUCACUGUGCUAAUCAGCAGUGAAUUGACGGUACCUGCAAAGGACGCACCGGCUAACUCCGUGCCAGCAGCCGCGGUAAUACGGAGGGUGCGAGCGGUAAUCGGAAUUACUGGGCGUAACACGCUCGUAGGCGGUAUGUCAAGUCAAGGGUGAAAGCCCCGCGCUCAACGUGGGAACUGCAUUUGAAACUGGCAGACUGGAGUGUGUGAGAGGAUAGUGGAAU